AUCCAGCUGCCGAGUCCCAAAUAGAACGAAACGCACAUCCUAUAU
Molecule: non-coding RNA, 45 nt
Organism: Schistosoma margrebowiei
Lineage: Eukaryota; Metazoa; Platyhelminthes; Trematoda; Strigeidida; Schistosomatidae
Source: Rfam